Molecule: ribosomal RNA, 210 nt
Filed under: uncultured bacterium
Lineage: Bacteria
Description: partial 16S ribosomal RNA
Rfam family: Bacterial small subunit ribosomal RNA
Source: RNAcentral
ACGUCUCAGUUCGGAUUGGAGUCUGCAACUCGACUCCAUGAAGCUGGAUUCGCUAGUAAUCGCGCAUCAGCCAUGGCGCGGUGAAUACGUUCCCGGGCCUUGUACACACCGCCCGUCAAGCCAUGGAAGCCGGGGGUGCCUGAAGUGCGUGACCGCAAGGAGCGCCCUAAGGUAAAACCGGUGACUGGGGCUAAGUCGUAACAAGGUACC